GAUGAACGCUAGCGGCAGGCUUAACACAUGCAAGUCGAGGGGCAGCGCGGGAUAGCAAUAUCCUGGCGGCGACCGGCGGAAGGGUGCGUAACGCGUGAGCGACAUGCCCGUUGCCCGGGGACAACCGGUGGAAACGCCGACUAAUCCCCGAUGGGAUAUUGUGCCGCAUGGCACGAUAUUGAAAGUUACGGCGGCGACGGAUUGGCUCGCGUCCGAUUAGCUUGUUGGCGGGGUAACGGCCCACCAAGGCUGCGAUCGGUAGGGGUUCUGAGAGGAAGGCCCCCCACAAUGGGACUGAGACACGGCCCAUACGCCUACGGGAGGCAGCAGUGAGGAAGAUUGGUCAAUGGGCGGAAGCCUGAACCAGCCAUGCCGCGUGCGGGAAGGAGGCCCUAUGGGCUGUGAACCGCUUUUGCCUGGGGGCAAUAAGGGCGUCGCGCACGUCCGAUGAGAGUACCAGGCGAAUAAGCAUCGGCUAACUCCGUG
RNAcentral lists this ribosomal RNA (486 nucleotides) under uncultured bacterium. RNAcentral describes it as "partial 16S ribosomal RNA". It matches the Rfam family "Bacterial small subunit ribosomal RNA", at positions 28 to 507 of the family's 1533-position model. The record is from RNAcentral.